RNAcentral lists this transfer RNA (72 nucleotides) under Ornithorhynchus anatinus (platypus). It matches the Rfam family "tRNA". From Rfam's summary of the family: Transfer RNA (tRNA) molecules are approximately 80 nucleotides in length. Their secondary structure includes four short double-helical elements and three loops (D, anti-codon, and T loops). The record is from Rfam by way of RNAcentral. Lineage: Eukaryota; Metazoa; Chordata; Mammalia; Monotremata; Ornithorhynchidae.
AGCAGUGUAGCCUAAUAGUAAAAGCCCAGGUCUAAAAGUCAGAGAUCCUGGGUUCUAAUCCCAGCUCUGAUA